Protopterus annectens (West African lungfish) is the source of this 788-nucleotide long non-coding RNA. RefSeq lists it as uncharacterized. The transcript is spliced from 3 exons. The record is from RefSeq and is a predicted model, not a curated record. Lineage: Eukaryota; Metazoa; Chordata; Ceratodontiformes; Protopteridae.
UUGUAGGUGAAUCAGUUAAAAUAAUUGCAGAUGUUGAGAAUCACUCAAGCCGAACAGUAGUGCCAAGAGCCUCCCUUAUUCAAACGCAACUGUAUUAUGCAAGAGGCAAGUCAAAGAGUGUAAACCAGACUGUUAUUGAAGUGGAGGGAGAGAAAAUUAAUGGUGGAGCCAUAGUAACCUGGAAUGGCAGUCUGCUAAUCCCACCACUUAGUCCCUCCAUUCUGAAAUGUAACAUUCUCAUGGUGACAUACACGCUGAAGGUUUAUUUAGAUAUCUCUGGAUCACUGAAUUCAUCCAUUGACUUUCCAUUUGUUAUUGGCACCAUUCCUCUGGCACCUAUUCAACCACCAUCUUUUCCAGUGCAACCAAUUGGCUUUGUCUUUAACUAAAGGUUGGAGACAUACAAGAUGAUCACUGGCUGAAAUAGAAGCAAGACUAAGAAAUAACUACUCUGUCAUAAGGCAGCUGAAGGAAAACAAGAGCCUCUGCUUUUUACAAUGAAGAUGGCAUAAUAGCUUUAAAGAUUUUGCAGAACAUUUUCUUUAUGCAUCUUACUGUUGAAUAUAUAAUGUUUCUGUUUAAUAUAUGUGAACAUCUUAUUAACUUUUUAUGUUUAAUGAAUUUAUACAUCAAUUUAUUAAGAAAGAGAUAUUAUAUUUUUUAUAGCAAGGAAUGGAAUGCAAUGUAUUUUGGAAGGGUCUAUAUUAUAUCAUCGAACGCUUAAAAAAGCAAACGCUGAUUGAUCAACCUAAUUUAAGCGAAAGCUUACAAUCUCAAUCUGUCAGAUC